ACAACGACCUCAGAGCAGGCGAGACUACCC
RNAcentral lists this ribosomal RNA (30 nucleotides) under Conophyma sp. 1 ISS-2016. RNAcentral describes it as "partial 28S ribosomal RNA". The record is from RNAcentral. RNAcentral also lists the same sequence under 1 other name. Lineage: Eukaryota; Metazoa; Arthropoda; Insecta; Orthoptera; Dericorythidae.